CCAAAAUCCUUUCUCUUGGCAGCUGGCAUAUUUCGAGCAAGCUCAACUUUCUCAAUCUCACCAAAUUCCUUGGUCCUUUCCUUCACACGAUCCUCAUCCCACGCAGCAGGCAAGCCAUCAAUAAAAACUGUUUUGACCUGGGCCAUGAUUUCAUCAUCUGGUUCUAUGAAGGAAUCAGCAAAAGCAACCUUUGCACUCCGAUCAACUCCAAACACAACAUCCCUCCUCUGCAGGCGCCUGAAUGCAUCCAUUGCCUCAGAACGAGAUGAAAACUCCAGGAAAGAAAAUCCACGAUUCAUUCCCUCGUUGUUGG
Molecule: unclassified non-coding RNA, 313 nt
Filed under: Hevea brasiliensis (rubber tree)
Lineage: Eukaryota; Viridiplantae; Streptophyta; Magnoliopsida; Malpighiales; Euphorbiaceae
Source: RNAcentral